UACGGAGGAUGCAAGCGUUAUCCGGAUUCAUUGGGUUUAAAGGGUGCGCAGGCGGAGUGAUAAGUCAGUGGUGAAAUCCUACGGCUCAACUGUAGAACUGCCAUUGAUACUGUCAUUCUUGAGUACUGUUGAGGUGGGCGGAAUGUGUCAUGUAGCGGUGAAAUGCUUAGAUAUGACACAGAACACCGAUCGCGAAGGCAGCUCACCAAGCAGAAACUGACGCUCAUGCACGAAAGCGUGGGGAUCAAAC
Molecule: ribosomal RNA, 250 nt
Filed under: uncultured bacterium
Lineage: Bacteria
Description: partial 16S ribosomal RNA
Rfam family: Bacterial small subunit ribosomal RNA
Source: RNAcentral